UAAUAAGUAUUUUAUGGCACUUUUUAAAUCCAUAUCCACCUUGUGUGCAAUGUCAGUCGAUCUUCUUCAUGGAGAUCGACCAAACAUCAACCUUUAUCUUUUAACUCUUUGUCUGAAAAAUAUUAUGAAUAAACAAUUCAAAAUA
Molecule: unclassified non-coding RNA, 145 nt
Filed under: soil metagenome
Description: partial internal transcribed spacer 1
Source: RNAcentral